AUUGCCUAAGAAUCUUGUUAAAAUGCAGAUUCUGAUUUAGCAGGGCUGGGGUAGGGCCUGAGACUCUGUAUUUCUAACAGGCUUGCAGGCAAUGCUAA
This 98-nucleotide microRNA precursor is filed under the name Loxodonta africana (African savanna elephant). RNAcentral's name for it is "mir-544 microRNA precursor family". It matches the Rfam family "mir-544 microRNA precursor family". The record is from Rfam by way of RNAcentral. Lineage: Eukaryota; Metazoa; Chordata; Mammalia; Proboscidea; Elephantidae.